AGAGUUUGAUUCUGGCUCAGGACGAACGCUGGCGGCGCGCCUAACACAUGCAAGUCGAACGAGCGAGAGAGAGCUUGCUUUCUCAAGCGAGUGGCGAACGGGUGAGUAACGCGUGAGGAACCUGCCUCAAAGAGGGGGACAACAGUUGGAAACGACUGCUAAUACCGCAUAAGCCCACGGGUCGGCAUCGACCAGAGGGAAAAGGAGCAAUCCGCUUUGAGAUGGCCUCGCGUCCGAUUAGCUAGUUGGUGAGGUAAUGGCCCACCAAGGCGACGAUCGGUAGCCGGACUGAGAGGUUGAACGGCCACAUUGGGACUGAGACACGGCCCAGACUCCUACGGGAGGCAGCAGUGGGGAAUAUUGCACAAUGGGGGAAACCCUGAUGCAGCGACGCCGCGUGGAGGAAGAAGGUCUUCGGAUUGUAAACUCCUGUUGUUGAGGAAGAUAAUGACGGUACUCAACAAGGAAGUGACGGCUAACUACGUGCCAGCAGCCGCGGUAAAACGUAGGUCACAAGCGUUGUCCGGAAUUACUGGGUGUAAAGGGAGCGCAGGCGGGAAGACAAGUUGGAAGUGAAAUCUAUGGGCUCAACCCAUAAACUGCUUUCAAAACUGUUUUUCUUGAGUAGUGCAGAGGUAGGCGGAAUUCCCGGUGUAGCGGUGGAAUGCGUAGAUAUCGGGAGGAACACCAGUGGCGAAGGCGGCCUACUGGGCACCAACUGACGCUGAGGCUCGAAAGUGUGGGUAGCAAACAAGAGUAGAUACCCUGGUAGUCCACACCGUAAACGACCCUAAGGGGGUGGAGGGGGGACCCCCUUCAGUGCCGCAGUUAACACAAUAAGUAAUACACCUGGGGAGUACGACCGCAAGGGUGAAACUCAAAGGAAAUGACGGGGGGCCGCACAAGCAGUGGAGUAUGUGGUUUAAUUCGACGCAACGCGAAGAACCUUACCAAGUCUUGACAUCCUGCGACGUGCAUAGAAAUAUGUAUUUCCUUCGGGACGCAGAGACAGGUGGUGCAUGGUUGUCGUCAGCUCGUGUCGUGAGAUGUUGGGUUAAGUCCCGCAACGAGCGCAACCCUUACUGUCAGUUACUACGCAAGAGGACUCUGGCAGGACUGCCGUUGACAAAACGGAGGAAGGUGGGGAGGACGUCAAAUCAUCAUGCCCUUUAUGACUUGGGCUACACACGUACUACAAUGGCGUUAAACAAAGAGAAGCAAGACCGCGAGGUGGAGCAAAACUCAGAAACAACGUCCCAGUUCGGACUGCAGGCUGCAACUCGCCUGCACGAAGUCGGAAUUGCUAGUAAUCGUGGAUCAGCAUGCCACGGUGAAUACGAUCCCGGGCCUUGCAC
This 1355-nucleotide ribosomal RNA is filed under the name synthetic construct. Its description in RNAcentral is "bacterial SSU rRNA". It matches the Rfam family "Bacterial small subunit ribosomal RNA", at positions 8 to 1386 of the family's 1533-position model. RNAcentral also lists the same sequence under 1 other name. The record is from RNAcentral.